RNAcentral lists this long non-coding RNA (1635 nucleotides) under Anser cygnoides (Swan goose). RNAcentral describes it as "lncRNA (ENSACDG00005007002.1)". Lineage: Eukaryota; Metazoa; Chordata; Aves; Anseriformes; Anatidae. The record is from RNAcentral.
CAGAGAGCCAAUCAGCUUUUCACAAGCUCUUGUUAUCUGAUCUAGAGACAAAGAGGGAGCAUGGGACAGAUCACAUAAAACUACAUUGAAAGCAAAUGAAUCAUCAUCCCAAAAGUACCUGCUAUAGAAAUAGAACAGAGUAGUCUUAAAUAAAUUUACUGGACAAAUCUGCUGUUAUCUCAACCCUCGCAGCCCCAUGUGGGAUGCCAAAUAGGGCAGUUGUGCUUUAAAUCCAGUGGGCAGGGGAGCAGCACAGAGCCACUUACUCAGCCAAACCCCAGUGGGAUCAGGGCAAAAGAAUCAAGAGGGCAAAAGUUAGGAAAUUCAUGGGUUGAAAUAACUACAGUAUAGUAAGCAAAAGGGGGGAAAAAAAAAAGGGGGGGGGUGAUGAAAACGCAACUGGUCACCAAUAUCUGACCCAUGCCCAUCAAGUCCCACAGUUAUUGCAGCCCCCACGGAACUGCACCCCUACUUUUGUUGUACAGCACAAAGCAAGUUUCCAGGUGCACUCAGAAAGGGCAGAAAAGGCACCGAUUUGGAUGAACGAGCCAUUGCCUCCUUGCCAGACACCCCCAAGUCCCAGGUUGUGAGAGAGUCUCCUUAUGCACAGGACACAGGGCUGCAGCACCAGGUCUCCCCAAGGAGCCGCUGGCAGGCAGAGGGGCUCAGGCUGUGUAGCGGUGUAAAAGGAACAACAGUACGGGGGCUGACUUACAGUUAGCAAGCACAUGCAAGAAGAAUGAGCUAAAAGGCUUUGGGAGAGGCUGAUGAUGUUUUCUGGUGCCAUGGGAGCUGUCAGUCAAGGGGGUAAAGCUGCCUGGAGUCAAAGACAAGUAGGGCUUUGCAGGGAGGAUGCUGCCCCUGAGAUACAAGUAAAAAUAAUGCGUGGUGAAGUGUCUUAGUAUCUGUAACUUAAAGUGGGGGCUCUGCACAUGAAAAAGACGCAGCAUGUGAUGAGGCAUGGCCUGGCUAGUCAGAGUGUCUGUCUGUGGGCAAGGCUCAAGUGGCCACAGAAAGCCCACAGGACAGGUCCCAGCUGCACUGCAAGCCUCUGUCCCACCGUCCCCAGCUCAGAGCAAAGCAGACACCUGAAGCAGACGGUGCUCCCCAAAAGCAGCGCCCCAAAAGAUGCUGGGGCAGGCGCCAUGGGCAAGGCUGUCUCCUUCUGGCCCUGCCGUCCUGCUGCUGGCGCUCUCCGCCAGCUUGACCUCCCAGGACAUCUGCAGCUCCCCAGGUACUCGUGAGUCCUUUCCUCCCAGACCCAGGGCACUUUGAAGCCCAACCUCUGUGAGCUCUGCCCUGUGGCAGCCCUUCACUGCUGUGUCUCCUCCAGGGGAUCUCCCGGCUCCUGCUCUCCAACUCAGCACAAGUUCUGCUCAGCCAGGUACCACAGCUGUACUCCAGUGUUUUCUCCAUGUGGUGUCACCCGUCAGACGAAUCAUCUUCUGCAAGGAUGGGGUGGAGGUGUACAGCCAGAAAGCCCAGCAAGGGCAGCUGAGCUACUCUAUGGUCCUGAACAUCACGUCAAGAAGCGCAGGAAGAUAUACAUGUGGGUACCAGCAGAGGACUGAGAUGAAACAAGUGAGGAACUCUGCCCUCAGCGCUGGCCGCAUCCUGGAUGUCCCCGGUGAGACA